GGGAGGGGAAACAGGAAGCUGACAUGUCACGGAGCACGGCGAGCCUAUGAGCGGCUGGGCCUCUAACUUGGACCCCCAAAGGCCAGGAGACUCCUAUGCAUCCCUCAAAGCCCAAUUCAAAAGGUGCCUCUUCCAGUUUAAACACUGGACGUCCUCUGUCCAAUUGAGAUCCUAAGGUCAAAAAGAACUGCCAAUAAAUCUUGACCUCUCAUUAGUAGGUUUGUCACGGGAUGUGGUAUCAGGGUAACAAUUCUGCAACAACUGUGUAUUACGGGAAAGAGCAUCAGUGGAUAAAUGCGGUGGCAUUGCUCCAAACCCUGGUUCUU
This is a long non-coding RNA of Mustela erminea (ermine), 326 nucleotides long. RefSeq lists it as uncharacterized. Lineage: Eukaryota; Metazoa; Chordata; Mammalia; Carnivora; Mustelidae. The record is from RefSeq and is a predicted model, not a curated record. The transcript has 2 exons.